This 174-nucleotide non-coding RNA is filed under the name Protocruzia adhaerens. Lineage: Eukaryota; Ciliophora; Spirotrichea. The record is from RNAcentral.
CACAGGCUAUGAAUUCAAAGACAAGGAGGACAUCACUCCUUUCCUCGAACAAGCAACGCAAGGAGAAACUUUCAACUGGUGCUCUCAACAAGCAUCAAGAUUGAAGGCAUACGUGGCAUGUGGUUUCCCCCAAAAAGUGGUCCAAUCAGAUGGUACCAUUGACUGUUAUAAUGC